This 1005-nucleotide long non-coding RNA is filed under the name Oryctolagus cuniculus (rabbit). RNAcentral's name for it is "lncRNA (ENSOCUG00000035688.1)". Lineage: Eukaryota; Metazoa; Chordata; Mammalia; Lagomorpha; Leporidae. The record is from RNAcentral.
UCGCAAAUCAAUGCUUUUGGAAAAUACUGUAAAAAGUUCCAAUGCAAAUGUCAAUACCUACCUAUCCAUAGAGGUUUUCAAAGAUACGUGUGUAAAAAAACUAAGCAGCAGCUAAUUUCACGACAUUCUGUGAAAAGACUUCAAGUAUUCUCUCCUGUCUCACAAGCUCUCACUCCCGAAUGUGUCCGAUUCAUAAGUGCGGACUUUUCACCGCCUCCCCCGCCGCGGGCAAUUUUCUGUCCCGGUCCUGUUCCCUUCUUUCCAGCUGAUUCAGUGAAUGACCUCGGGGGCAACCCCGAGGCCGCCAGGCCAGCCCUGUGGGACCCCCUGCCCUGCCCUGGAGACCUCCGGCUCGCCGGCGCGAGAGCCUGGCCGCGCCGGACGCGCCCGGGGAGGAGCCGGCCGAGGGCCCGGGCUGUCCCGGCAGUCGAGGCUGGGCUGGCAGGGAGCCCGGAGCCCGGAGGAGGCGGGCUACUCCCCCGCCACGUCCGGAGCAGACUCAGGCAGUGCAACCCCAAGGACAUUGGGAGGGGGAGCCGCGGCGCGCGCAGGGCCGGCCUGGAAGCGGCCGCCGGGGCCGGGGCGUGGAGGGGGCGGCGCCGCGCAGCCUGGAGCCCGUGGGCCCCGAGGCGUGGCCCCGCGACCCUGCGUGGUUCGGGGCGGGUGGAGACAGGACGCUUCUACCUUUCUCAGUCACCCCAGCCUCUGCCGGCUGCAGCUCAGCUUCCAAGUCUAAGAGCUCAAAGAGCUGCUCCGGGCGGGGGGGAAGGAGCCCUGGUGCAGGAGUGCGCGCCGAGCCGCCAGCCACCAUCGAAGAGGGAGCGAGGCGAGGCCGUCCGGGUUCGUAGGAAGCCGGCGCUGUCAGCCCUCCAGCCGCCCGGGUCCCAAGUCGCAUCCACAGCACGCCUCGGGCCAGCUUCUCGGAGCAGACUUGGCGGGAUCCGCCAGGUGCAGGUGCGGGCAGCGUGCAGCUGUCUCUGCCCAGGGCUGCGCCGGGAGCCGCGG